GGCGGGAUAGUGUAGCGGCAUCAUCAACGCUUUGGGAGCGUUGGACGGCGGUUCGAAUCCGCCUCCUGCCA
Molecule: transfer RNA, 71 nt
Filed under: Candidatus Nanosalina sp. J07AB43
Lineage: Archaea; Methanobacteriati; Methanobacteriota; Candidatus Nanohaloarchaea
Rfam family: tRNA
About the family: Transfer RNA (tRNA) molecules are approximately 80 nucleotides in length. Their secondary structure includes four short double-helical elements and three loops (D, anti-codon, and T loops). Further hydrogen bonds mediate the characteristic L-shaped molecular structure. tRNAs have two regions of fundamental functional importance: the anti-codon, which is responsible for specific mRNA codon recognition, and the 3' end, to which the tRNAs corresponding amino acid is attached (by aminoacyl-tRNA synthetases). tRNAs cope with the degeneracy of the genetic code in two manners: having more than one tRNA (with a specific anti-codon) for a particular amino acid; and 'wobble' base-pairing, i.e. permitting non-standard base-pairing at the 3rd anti-codon position.
Source: Rfam by way of RNAcentral